UUCGGACAUUGAGGGCUCCAAUGGUCAGAUGGAGUUCUAAUUUUUAAGAUCCAUGUUAUGAUCUCUUAGUUUCCUACCUGUUGCCAAGUGGCUAACAAGGGUAUUGCAACUUCUGACAUGAUAUAAGACUUAAAUUUUACAGUUAUACAAAAUCAUGAUCACAUUACAACUUCUGGUAAAUGCUAUCUGAUUAAGUGUUUAUGGCAUGUUAAUGAAAAUGUUGUCAGUGUUGGGAUUGACUUGAUGCCAGUUCAUCUUGAUAAGUUAUGUUUCCUGUGCAGAUUGCAUUAGAUAAAAAUGAUCUUGAUAAAACUUUCAUACAGCUUACAAUUGAAUUGGUGACGAAGCAGGUCUGAUCUCCUAGAGCUCUGAACAUUGUCUACUGUACAGAACAUUGUCUAAUGUGUUUUUGACCCCCUCAUAAUGAUUGGAUAUUAUUGUAUUUUCUUUGACUUUAUUCUUUUAUUGAAUUGUUUAUUAUAAGUUAAUGCUCUUCAGUUAUUUUAUGGAGCCAGCAUUUAGAUCGCUUCCCUGUGGUUAAUAUUAAACAGAGUUUGGUUAUUCUUGACAUACUUGUUGCGGAUUAUUGUAUAGAAUUUUGUAUCUUUCCAUUCUAGGGCAUGCAAAGUAUCAAUAUGGUAUGCGACGCUAUAUGUAUUAUUUGGCGUCAUGUAAGUACUAGUACUAUGUGAAGCUCAUCUACUCGUUAUGCUAUGAGAAUUGAGGAUUUGGGUUCCAACGCAUGCUAGCCUAUAGUGACUGUAUUGUAUUAAUCUAGUAAGGUACCAACACUAAAUGUCCCUUGGUAACAGUCCAUGCCAAAAACAUACUAUAUUGCCUCAUUUUUGUUGUGCCAACACCAAGAGACAUGCCAUGUAUCAGUAUGGCACCAUAUUGCAUUGUUCCAUACCAUAUAAGUAGGUAACAAUGCAGGUUAGAAGGUAUGGUACCGGUACUUCAACCCUGAUGGGAAUCUCUCAAGCUGUAAGUACAUUGAUUUCUAGCAAUUGAUAUGACAUGAAAUGACAGUUUUUUGUCACUUUUAGGGCUGAUUUAUAGAUUGAACCUUCAAAUCUUGGAAAAAUAGUCAAAGUUAAUGAGGAAAAGCAUCGAAAGUUCUGGAACUGAGAUAUGAUUGUUUGGAAUGUUGAAGCGCAUGCUUAAAAUGAGAAAGCAGGGUUGAAGUCCACAAUGCUAUAUAUUGUGCCAUAAAGCUUAUAUCACAAGUUCACAACCAUACACACUAGUGUAGGCUAUUAUGCAGUAUAUUUGAUAAUCAUAGAUGGUACAGAGGCAUGCACAUGCCAAUAAGCUGCCAGCAAAUAUGUAUCAUGUCGUACAAUAUUGGUGCGAACUGGCACUUUAGUCUUCGGUUAUUCGCUCAUCUUGACAAAUGAAACCUUUGUAUCUUCAUGCUAGAAGUCCUGGCCAAUGAAAGUUGGUGGUUUAGUGUGCCUGUUGUGGUAAUUAUGACUGGAUAAGGAAAGGACUAGCAAAGCAGGGUAUCUCAAUGUUCUUUCUUGCACUAACGUAUUCUAGUUGAAACUAUCACAAUUUUCUUUUUGUUUUGCUGUGUGGCAGCAAAACCUUGAAGCACUUGUGUUGUUGCGAUACUAGAAUUCCAGACUUCUUAAAACCCUGACCUUGAUAAGGUUCCCUCUUUGAAAACAUACAGACAAUCAUAUCAACAUCAAUUCUUGUAGGAUUAUUCUAAAUCCCAAGAGGGAGAAUACUUAACCUGCUAUGGGUUAUGUGAUAGGCCGUCAUUUGCUACUAGACAGAAUUCUGCACCUAACUUUUAAUUGUUAACCAAGUUUUCCAGAUUUCUUGUCAUAUAUCUAUUUCUGAAUCUAGUUAAUCUCCAGCCAUGGAGGAUGGAAUUUUAACUUCUAUAUGAAUCGGACUUUUUUGAUCCUAUAGAUCAAAUAUCAAAUAACCUGUUGUUUGUUCUCUCGCAACUGAUGUUCUGUUAUUUAGCAUACUUAGAAAACAAAUGAUGCACAUAAAUCCUAGCAAAUUACUUAUGAAAAAUGGAUCGCAUGGAUACAGGGUCCAUAUUGCUUUGUAUCUUGAUCGAUCAAGUGUAUAAGACAAUGUCCUCUGACUAGUAGAUUGAGGGUCAUGUUUUAGUUUAGGGCAUGAUCAAUGUUUUGUUGAUAGAUGUAACUCUUGGGAUCAUUUUGGUAUGAAACUCAACAAUCUCUUUGCAGUAUGCUGAUUAAUAUGCAUAACAUACAUAGUUUGUCUCCAAUGCUUUUCUUUUCUUUUC
RNAcentral lists this long non-coding RNA (2269 nucleotides) under Elaeis guineensis (African oil palm). RNAcentral's name for it is "long non-coding RNA (EGUI_LNC080418)". Lineage: Eukaryota; Viridiplantae; Streptophyta; Magnoliopsida; Arecales; Arecaceae. The record is from RNAcentral.